GCUCAUAGAAAGAGAAAAGGAACAGGAGGGGGGAAAAAGAUAACAAGAUCUCAUAAAAGAGCUCAUACAAAGAGAGAGGGGAAGGGGGAAGGGGGGAGAGAUAACAAGAUAACAAUAAUUGAACAAUACUAGAAAAAGAGAACAGAAUGUUGAGAUCACUAUAGCACCACAGUACAUGCUCUUCUUUCUUCUCCCACUCUUGGAACUCAGCCCGAGCACGCUCUCUGGCCAGUAAUGCCUGUAGAUGAAAAUAUUAGGUGAUCCAUUAUCACACUAUUCCAGAUAGUUUACCAGAUGAAGCUCAAAGUGCAGGCAAACCAUAGAGAUCUAUACAAUUGUGACCUACAAAAAUUAAUUCAUCCUAUGGACACUUGAUGAAAAAUCUAAACAAUGAAAAUAGUAAUCAAACAUACCAUUUCUUCCUCGUGUUGUGCUUUUUCAAUUGCCCUUUCCACCCUUCUCUUUUUCAAUCUCUGCCACAAACAUAAAUUUGGAUGGUUACACAAAAUCUCAAUUUAAAAAAUGCUCAUUUUACUUGGAAAGUACAACUUAUAUCAGUAUAUUAUAUUCAUUAAUACACAAACAUAUAUGAAGGUUAAUGAAUCUCCAAACAGUAAAUAAAAAUGGUACACGAGUAGUUAGUUGCUAGUAGUUAUACCGAUGAUCCAAAAUGAUACUCCCUUGUUUUGAAAUGAAAGGCAUACUUCUUUUUUGUUAAUUUUUGGAGUUUUAAAGUUUGCACAGGUUAGAGUUAUACAUAAUUCUAUUUAGUAAUAUUCUUCUAAUAAUAAAUUAUAGUUUCUAAAGUAUAAUAACGAAAAAAAGAAUAAAUUAAGUCGGAAACAAAAAAAGUAGGAUUCACAGUUCCAAACAGAGAGUUACUAUUAAAUUUUCGCAACAGAUAAAAUAAUGUGGAUAACAAACUGAUCCUACAUACCAUUCUUUCUCUAUUCAUUUUCUUCUUUUCUUUUACCGAAAACAUUUCAAGUGGCAUGCCUUACGUAACAUUACGCUCAAUCUUCUUUUGCCAAACAAAUCUGCAUAUCAAAUAUUCAUAUAAAUGUAUCAGCAGUACGAAAUAUAGCACUAACAAGUUUUCCUCCAUUCCUUUCAUAUUUUAAGCUAAUAAUCUGAUGUUACUUAUUUUGUAAAGCAAUUUCUACAAAAAUAACCAAAGAGCUUUAUAAUUACAUUUAAAGAGUAAAAGAAAACAUAUCGGCUCAUAGUCUCAUUCAAAGUCUAUAAAGCAAACAAAUUUAACAUAAGGCUUAGGUAAAGAUUAUUAACCAGAAAAUUUAAAACCUAACUUGGAACAGAAAGAAUUCUUGGAGGACUGCCGGUAAAACCAUUGAUUUACAUCAUCCAAUAACAACCUGACAAUUCAAUGUGUUACGAGAAAAUAAAGGAGUUUAAAUUGCAUCAACCUAUUCAAUUUGAUUAAUUAAAUAAUUUUUCACCACGAUAAUAGUUAUCACAGUCUGUAAAUACAAUCAAAUUCUUUGAUUUUCUCAUAAAUACUUACUUGGCCAAUUGCUAAUAGAUGUUGUCAACAAGUGGUUUUACUAAUCCACAACUUGAAAACAAGGAAAGAAAUGAAAAAUGUUACAUAGAAGGCAAGACAAGCUUGAGUUCAAGUCCUGACUUAUUAGCUUAAGUUUUGAGGGAGAAAAAAGGAUGAAGCGUAAAUGGAUUUAAAAGGUGUUGAUGAUUCCAUUUUGUGACAGUCUGCUCUUGGAUAUCCACUCACUAGGAUUUUAAUUUCUUCCAGAUCUUCCACUACAUUAUUACUUAAUUCUUGGGGGUUAUUAGGUUAUAUUCAUCUGAACUCAAUUGCACUGAAUCAAUUUUCCAAAUGCAAUACAGAACACGAUACAUAACCCUUUCCAGCUUAAUGUCACAACAAUAUUAAAAUAACAACUUGUUACCGAUCUGCACUCAACUGCGAAUUAGGGUUCAUGAGAAAUCGCAGCAGCUUUAGAUUUGGGAGAUUAAAUAACAAACUUACCGAUUCAAUGCUGAUGAGUUUGCUGUAGAACACAAAUUUUGGACGCACAUGGUCAAAUUUGCACAAAUUCCCCCUGUUUAUAUUUUAUUUUAUUGUCCUUCUCUUAACCUUUAUUGCAGGUCUUCCAGUUCCAUGAGGCUAUAUAGCAAAAAUAGAACUAGUAAUACAAGUUCAAUUGUAACUUUUAAAAAACCAAAUUUCAGCAAAAUUCUUAAUCUUUUCAUAUAUUACCUUCUUUUUCUCUCCCCGUGUCUUUCAUGUGAUCCAAACAGAGUAUCAAGAACACAAUCCGCAAUUACAAGGUUAAUCUCCACAAACAACACAGAAAGACAAAAGAUAGAUUCAUAAGGAAAGCACUUGAUGUGGAUUUGAGUAAUAGGCCAACAAUUAAUGUAAUAAACAACCACAUAUUUCAUAUAAAACAAUUCACUAAUAAAUCUAUAUCAGAGUCUCCAUAAGUUUUCAACUUCUAUGAUAACUGAAAUCGCACAUGCAAAUCAAACAGUCAAAAAAUGACAACUUUUAAACAGAAAAUGCAGACAUGCAAACUCACACACAUCUAUAUAUAUAUAUAUAGAGAGAGAGAGAGAGAGAGAAAGAGAUAUAUAGAGAGAGAGAGACCUGUAAGAGAUUAGCAAUGGUUUCAACAGCGGCAGUUUUGUAAGAGUUUAGCAUUGCGUGUUUAGUUUCAAGUACAAAAUAAAUUCAAUUUUACUCCAUGCACGUGUUCUAAGUAAUCAAUCAUGGUACUUGGUCAAUUAUUAACACCAAAAAUCAGUCAUGAUACCCUUCUCAACAUAGCAAAUACAAGAGUAAACAUUGAGAUUCCCAACAUAUAUAGCAAAAUCUAAACAAAAAACAAGAUUAAUAGCACAUAUAACCAAUCUUUUAUGUGAACCAAACCAUCAUGGUACCCAAUUUUUGGACAAAUAUAGAUGGGUUCCCUAUUCACAGUUUUCAAUUCUUAACCUUAUAAUUCGAAAACCUCACCGAUUAAAUGUUGAUUAAUUUGAUGUAGAACACAAAUCUUUCACUCUUGGUCCCGAAUCUUGCACUUUUUUUCCAAUUGAAUGGUUUUCUAGAGGAAUCGUUGAUGAAAAACAAGAAUCGCUGCUGAGAUUGAAAACUUAGGGCUGUAAUUUUGCCAAAUUUGUUUAAAGUGAGAAUCCGUCCGCUAGACAUUCAGCGGAUGUGGUGAAGAAUUUUGCAAAAUCAACCCAUAUAAAUUUUAAACCAAUCCACUAGAAUUAAUAGCGGAGGGCGAAAAUGGUUUUUUAAUCUGGAUUGUUAAUAAUUGUUAUGGAU
RNAcentral lists this long non-coding RNA (3310 nucleotides) under Panax ginseng (ginseng). RNAcentral describes it as "long non-coding RNA (PGIN_LNC010803)". The record is from RNAcentral. Lineage: Eukaryota; Viridiplantae; Streptophyta; Magnoliopsida; Apiales; Araliaceae.